Long non-coding RNA from Solanum pennellii, 826 nucleotides. RefSeq lists it as uncharacterized. The transcript has 2 exons. Lineage: Eukaryota; Viridiplantae; Streptophyta; Magnoliopsida; Solanales; Solanaceae. The record is from RefSeq and is a predicted model, not a curated record.
AGAAAAUUAUUUAUCAAGUAAAAGUCUUCAAGAUCGAUAGGUUUCCUAAGUUCAAGAAGUUCUUGAGUUAGAAAGUUUUGAACGUGUAAAACUAUUUUCUUGAUUCAUUCUUGAGUUGUUAGUUACGAUUCUUUGUACAAGAAGUGGGUUUGGCUUCUUGUAGAGUUGAGUUUUAGUGAGGUUUGUAACAAAAGGUGGGUUUGGCCUUUUGGAGAGUAGAAGUAGUCUAUUAUAGUUAAUCGAGAGUUGUUGUAGUGGUGAGGUUUUUGAUUAUUGAGUUGUAAUCAUAAAAUCAUCUAGUUUAAUUAAUAAAACGAGGUUUUUCCUUCCUUGAUUGGGGAAGGUUUUUAACUUAACAAGUGUUUGUGUUCUGACUUAAAACCAACUUACAAGAACCUGGUUCUUGUUGUAAGGGAUAGGUUUCAAAGAAAAAUGAAACAGAUCACACAAUUCGAAAGACAUCCUGAAACAUAUAUUCUACAGCAGCUAAAGACACUAGAAACCACACCAAUCUUAUCAGUUCAACGAGCAUAAUCUCGCAUCAACAAAAGCAAUGUUACUACAACAUAGUGGAAAGAGAAUCAUGUCAAGAGGAAAUAAAUCAUACAAAAAAAACCUAGAGAUGGGCAUCUCGAUAUGAACUUGCAUCACAAAGAUGGAGACAGACACACAACAAAAUAGGAAAUUCAACAAUUUUCACAGCAAACAACUCUAUGAUAAUAGGCUUGGACCAAGUUUAGAUUAUUUCUUCACAGCCUUUGCCUUUGAAAAAUGUGUAGAAAGAAGCAAAAUUUAAUACACUUCAAUAUAUAUACUUAUAAAAUUA